UGUAGCCAUAUCAUAUGGAAACACUAAUUCUUCUACAAUCAUUGAAGUUAAGCAACAUUGAGCCUGGUCAGUACCUAGAUGGGUAACCACUUGGGAAUACCAGGUGCUGUGAG
Acanthosepion pharaonis is the source of this 113-nucleotide non-coding RNA. NCBI's taxonomy places the organism in Eukaryota, Metazoa, Mollusca, Cephalopoda, Sepiida, Sepiidae. The record is from the annotation of a GenBank genome assembly.